RNAcentral lists this ribosomal RNA (263 nucleotides) under uncultured bacterium. Its description in RNAcentral is "partial 16S ribosomal RNA". It matches the Rfam family "Bacterial small subunit ribosomal RNA", at positions 90 to 354 of the family's 1533-position model. The record is from RNAcentral.
UUCGAGUGGCGGACGGUGAGUAACGCGUGGGUAACCUGCCUUACACAGGGGGAUAACACCUGGAAACAGGUGCUAAUACCGCAUAAGCGCACAGGGCCGCAUGGCCCGGUGUGAAAAACUCCGGUGGUGUAAGAUGGACCCGCGUCUGAUUAGCUUGUUGGCGGGGUAGGGGCCCACCAAGGCGACGAUCAGUAGCCGGACUGAGAGGUUGACCGGCCACAUUGGGACUGAGAUACGGCCCAGACUCCUACGGGAGGCAGCAG